GGGCAGCAGUGAGGAAUAUUGGGCAAUGGACGCAAGUCUGACCCAGCAACGCCGCGUGGAGGAUGAAAGCCGUAAGGUUGUAAACUCCUUUUGAAGGGGACGAAAAAUCAAGUUUCGUAAGGGACUUGAACUGACGGUACCCUUAGAAGAAGCCCCGGCUAACUACGUGCCAGCAGCCGCGGUAAUACGUAGGGGGCAAGCGUUGUCCGGAUUUACUGGGUGUAAAGGGCGCGUAGGCGGGUUUGUAAGUCAGUGGUGAAAUCCUGCGGCUUAACCGUAGAACUGCCAUUGAUACUGCAAAUCUUGAGUUUGGAAGAGAGAAGCGGAAUUCCAGGUGUAGUGGUGAAAUACGUAGAUAUCUGGAAGAACACCAGUGGCGAAGGCGGCUUCUUGGUCCAUAACUGACGCUGAGGCGCGAAAGCGUGGGGAUCAAACAGGAUUAGAUACCCCUGUAGUC
Molecule: ribosomal RNA, 457 nt
Filed under: uncultured microorganism
Description: bacterial SSU rRNA
Rfam family: Bacterial small subunit ribosomal RNA
Source: RNAcentral